This 77-nucleotide transfer RNA is filed under the name Lentisphaerota bacterium. Its description in RNAcentral is "Lentisphaerae bacterium (anaerobic digester metagenome) tRNA-Asp". It matches the Rfam family "tRNA". Rfam says of the family: Transfer RNA (tRNA) molecules are approximately 80 nucleotides in length. Their secondary structure includes four short double-helical elements and three loops (D, anti-codon, and T loops). Further hydrogen bonds mediate the characteristic L-shaped molecular structure. tRNAs have two regions of fundamental functional importance: the anti-codon, which is responsible for specific mRNA codon recognition, and the 3' end, to which the tRNAs corresponding amino acid is attached (by aminoacyl-tRNA synthetases). tRNAs cope with the degeneracy of the genetic code in two manners: having more than one tRNA (with a specific anti-codon) for a particular amino acid; and 'wobble' base-pairing, i.e. permitting non-standard base-pairing at the 3rd anti-codon position. Lineage: Bacteria; Pseudomonadati; Lentisphaerota. The record is from RNAcentral. RNAcentral also lists the same sequence under 1 other name.
GGAGUUGUGGCGCAAUUGGUUAGCGCACCGCCCUGUCACGGCGGUGGUUGCGGGUUCGAGCCCCGUCAACUCCGCCA